GGGGAUGUAAAGGUUUCGACGGGGGAUGCGACCCCUGAUAAGCGAGCGGCGGUGCGGGACCGCCAUAAAAUCCGCAAACUUAAAAUAACUGACAAACGUACAGUUUCUCUGGCUGCUUGAUGCGGCCCGUCCCUGCGCGGAGCACCCCGGCCGCGUAAGGGGCGUCGACUAGGGGUAAAGGUGAACAGAGCAGCGCUUCGGGCUCUGUCAUCAUUUUGAAGCUACCGAACCCGUGAGCCUGUCGUUGGGCGCGCGGGCAAGGGAACGCUAAAACAGCGACUGCGCUCGGAGAAAAUCACGGCGAACAUCUUUCGGACGCGGGUUCAACUCCCGCCAUCUCCACCA
RNAcentral lists this transfer-messenger RNA (345 nucleotides) under Acutalibacteraceae. Its description in RNAcentral is "Ruminococcus_E sp900317595 Standard tmRNA". It matches the Rfam family "transfer-messenger RNA". From Rfam's summary of the family: Bacterial tmRNA, also known as 10Sa RNA or SsrA, is named for its dual tRNA and mRNA-like properties. The record is from RNAcentral. Lineage: Bacteria; Bacillati; Bacillota; Clostridia; Eubacteriales. RNAcentral also lists the same sequence under 1 other name.